CGCCUGUUUAACAAAAACAUUUCUUUUUGAUUAUUUAAAAGGUAUCUUCUGCCCUAUGAAUGAUUUUAAAUGGCUGCAGUAUUUUGACUGUGCAAAGGUAGCAUAGUAAUUAGUUUCUUAAUUAGGAGCUUGAAUGAAUGGAUGGAUGAAAUGUAUAUUUUAUUGAUUUUUUAAUUAAAAAUUUAAAUUUGAGUAAAAAUGCUUAAGUAAUUUUUUGGGACGAUAAGACCCUAUAGACUUUAUAUUAAUUUUGUUAUUUGGUUUUUAAUAUAUUAAUUCUGUUAACAUACUUAAUGUUUUGCUGGGGUGGUGAGUAAAUUUUAACUUUAUUUUACUAAGUCAAUUCUUAUUGUUAUUUUAGAUCUUUAUUAGGAAUUAUAAGAAUAAGUUACCUUAGGGAUAACAGCGUAAUCUUAAUGGAAAGUUCAUAUUAUAUUAAGGGUUGCGACCUCGAUGUUGAAUUAAGAUUAAUUAAAGAAGCAGUUUUCUUUACCAUUAGGUCUGUUCGACCUUUAAAUUCUUACCUUGAUCUGAGUUCAGACCGG
Molecule: ribosomal RNA, 545 nt
Filed under: Flexamia abbreviata
Lineage: Eukaryota; Metazoa; Arthropoda; Insecta; Hemiptera; Cicadellidae
Description: partial 16S ribosomal RNA
Rfam family: Archaeal large subunit ribosomal RNA
Source: RNAcentral